This 505-nucleotide ribosomal RNA is filed under the name uncultured bacterium. RNAcentral's name for it is "bacterial SSU rRNA". It matches the Rfam family "Bacterial small subunit ribosomal RNA", at positions 1014 to 1533 of the family's 1533-position model. The record is from RNAcentral.
GCUCGAAAGAGAACCUAGACACAGGUGCUGCAUGGCCGUCGUCAGCUCGUGUCGUGAGAUGUUGGGUUAAGUCCCGCAACGAGCGCAACCCUUGUCAUUAGUUGCUACGAAAGGGCACUCUAAUGAGACUGCCGGUGACAAACCGGAGGAAGGUGGGGAUGACGUCAGGUCCUCAUGGCCCUUAUGGGUAGGGCUACACACGUCAUACAAUGGCCGGUACAGAGGGCUGCCAACCCGCGAGGGGGAGCCAAUCCCAGAAAACCGGUCGUAGUCCGGAUCGCAGUCUGCAACUCGACUGCGUGAAGUCGGAAUCGCUAGUAAUCGCGGAUCAGCUUGCCGCGGUGAAUACGUUCCCGGGUCUUGUACACACCGCCCGUCACACCAUGGGAGCGGGUUCUGCCAGAAGUAGUUAGCCUAACCGCAAGGAGGGCGAUUACCACGGCAGGGUUCGUGACUGGGGUGAAGUCGUAACAAGGUAACCAAGGGCGAAUUCGCGGCCGCUAAA